Molecule: ribosomal RNA, 459 nt
Filed under: uncultured bacterium
Lineage: Bacteria
Description: partial 16S ribosomal RNA
Rfam family: Bacterial small subunit ribosomal RNA
Source: RNAcentral
GAUGAACGCUGGCGGCGCGCCUAACACAUGCAAGUCGAACGGCACCCCUCCUCGGAGGGAAGCGAGUGGCGAACGGCUGAGUAACACGUGGAGAACCUGCCCCCUCCCCCGGGAUAGCCGCCCGAAAGGACGGGUAAUACCGGAUACCCCGGGGUGCCGCAUGGCACCCCGGCUAAAGCCCCGACGGGAGGGGAUGGCUCCGCGUCCCAUCGGGUAGACGGCGGGGUGACGGCCCACCGUGCCGACAACGGGUAGCCGGGUUGCGAGACCGACCGGCCAGAUUGGGACUGAGACACGGCCCAGACUCCUACGGGAGGCAGCAGUGGGGAAUCUUGCGCAAUGGGGGGAACCCUGACGCAGCGACGCCGCGUGCGGGACGGAGGCCUUCGGGUAGUAAACCGCUUUCAGCAGGGAAGAGUCAAGACUGUACCUGAAGAAGAAGCCCCGGCUAACUACGUG